UGAGCAAAAGCUUCAAUUUGCUGAGGUCCU
Molecule: non-coding RNA, 30 nt
Filed under: Rattus norvegicus (Norway rat)
Lineage: Eukaryota; Metazoa; Chordata; Mammalia; Rodentia; Muridae
Source: RNAcentral